This 81-nucleotide non-coding RNA is filed under the name Rhizorhabdus wittichii. Lineage: Bacteria; Pseudomonadati; Pseudomonadota; Alphaproteobacteria; Sphingomonadales; Rhizorhabdaceae. The record is from RNAcentral.
AGCCGAAACGCCCCCGCGCGCCAGCCGCGUGGGGAGCGUCCGCCCGGACAGGCCGACCGGGCGCUGAUGAGGCAGGCCAUC